This 822-nucleotide ribosomal RNA is filed under the name Lentilactobacillus parabuchneri. RNAcentral describes it as "bacterial SSU rRNA". It matches the Rfam family "Bacterial small subunit ribosomal RNA", at positions 17 to 795 of the family's 1533-position model. Lineage: Bacteria; Bacillati; Bacillota; Bacilli; Lactobacillales; Lactobacillaceae. The record is from RNAcentral.
UCAUGGCUCAGGACGAACGCUGGCGGCGUGCCUAAUACAUGCAAGUCGAACGCGUCUUGGUUAUUGAUGUUAGAUGCUUGCAUUUAACUGAUUUAACAUUGAGACGAGUGGCGAACUGGUGAGUAACACGUGGGUAACCUGCCCUUGAAGUAGGGGAUAACACUUGGAAACAGGUGCUAAUACCGUAUAACAACCAAAACCACCUGGUUUUGGUUUAAAAGAUGGCUUCGGCUAUCACUUUAGGAUGGACCCGCGGCGUAUUAGCUUGUUGGUAAGGUAACGGCCUACCAAGGCAAUGAUACGUAGCCGACCUGAGAGGGUAAUCGGCCACAUUGGGACUGAGACACGGCCCAAACUCCUACGGGAGGCAGCAGUAGGGAAUCUUCCACAAUGGACGAAAGUCUGAUGGAGCAACGCCGCGUGAGUGAUGAAGGGUUUCGGCUCGUAAAACUCUGUUGUUGGAGAAGAACAGGUGUGAGAGUAACUGUUCACAUCUUGACGGUAUCCAACCAGAAAGCCACGGCUAACUACGUGCCAGCAGCCGCGGUAAUACGUAGGUGGCAAGCGUUGUCCGGAUUUAUUGGGCGUAAAGCGAGCGCAGGCGGUUUCUUAGGUCUGAUGUGAAAGCCUUCGGCUUAACCGGAGAAGUGCAUCGGAAACCAGGAGACUUGAGUGCAGAAGAGGACAGUGGAACUCCAUGUGUAGCGGUGAAAUGCGUAGAUAUAUGGAAGAACACCAGUGGCGAAGGCGGCUGUCUGGUCUGUAACUGACGCUGAGGCUCGAAAGCAUGGGUAGCGAACAGGAUUAGAUACCCUGGUAGUC